CGCUGGAGGCCCUAAAAGGCAGGUUGGUUUUUUAGACUAAUUUCGGUGUAAAAUCACCCCUAGCGC
RNAcentral lists this transfer RNA (66 nucleotides) under Austrofundulus limnaeus. RNAcentral describes it as "tRNA-Lys". The record is from RNAcentral. Lineage: Eukaryota; Metazoa; Chordata; Actinopteri; Cyprinodontiformes; Rivulidae.